RNAcentral lists this small RNA (625 nucleotides) under Rattus norvegicus (Norway rat). RNAcentral's name for it is "uncharacterized LOC102551889". The record is from RNAcentral. Lineage: Eukaryota; Metazoa; Chordata; Mammalia; Rodentia; Muridae.
UCCAGCGCGCAGGCGCAUACUUAUUCUCUGCGCGGCGUCCGUUUCUCCAGACUUUCCACUUUUGGCAAGCUAUGUUCCCUGGCUUGUGUCCAGUCUACAAAAGGUCUUAAAACCACGGAGCAGGGCUUUAAGCGUUUAGGAUCUCGCUUUUUGCAGGCUUUUGACAAGAAGGCUCAGAUCUCCACUAACCAGUGGCCACAUUUUACCAUCAUGAUCAUUGAGUAGCUCACAACCAAACCGUUUGCUUUAUCACAGCAAGAAGAGUGAGGAGAGCCAAAAAUGUCACAGAAGGGAGAAGCUGGAGGAAACUGAGGAGGAGGGCAACCCUGUAGGAGGACCAGCAGUCUCAACCUGGACCCUGAGAUCUCUCAGACACUGGACCACCAACCAGGCAGCAUGCACCAGCUGAUAUGAGGCCCCCAGCACAUAUACAGCAGAGGACUGCCAGGUCUGCGUACAGUCAGAGAAGAUGCACCUAACUCUCGAGACUGGAGGUCCCAGGAGAGGGGAGGUCUGAUGGGGGAGCAUCCUCGUGGAGACCGGAGGAGGAGGUAUGGGAUGUGGAACAGUCAGAGAGUAGACCCAGAGGGGGAUAAAAUCUGGAGUGUAAAAAAAAAAAAAAAAA